RNAcentral lists this ribosomal RNA (422 nucleotides) under uncultured bacterium. RNAcentral describes it as "bacterial SSU rRNA". It matches the Rfam family "Bacterial small subunit ribosomal RNA", at positions 354 to 774 of the family's 1533-position model. The record is from RNAcentral.
GUAAGGAAUAUUGGUCAAUGGACGCAAGUCUGAACCAGCCAUGCCGCGUGAAGGAUGAAGGUCCUCUGGAUUGUAAACUUCUUUUAUCUGGGACGAAAACGGGAUUUUUAUCUCAAUUGACGGUACCAGAGGAAUAAGCACCGGCUAACUCCGUGCCAGCAGCCGCGGUAAUACGGAGGGUGCGAGCGUUAUCCGGAUUUACUGGGUUUAAAGGGUGCGUAGGUGGGCUUAUAAGUCAGUGGUGAAAUCUCCGAGCUUAACUUGGAAACUGCCGUUGAUACUAUAGGUCUUGAAUUAUCUGGAGGUAAGCGGAAUAUGUCAUGCAGCGGUGAAAUGCUUAGAUAUGACAUAGAACACCAAUUGCGAAGGCAGCUUACUACAUAUAAAUUGACGCUGAGGCACGAAAGCGUGGGGAUCAAACA